GACGAACGCUGGCGGCAGGCUUAACACAUGCAAGUCGAACGCUCUCUUCGGAGAGAGUGGCAGACGGGUGAGUAACGCGUGGGAAUCUACCCAGUACUACGGAACAACACAGAGAAAUUUGUGCUAAUACCGUAUACGCCCUCCGGGGGAAAGAUUUAUCGGUAUUGGAUGAGCCCGCGUUUGAUUAGCUAGUUGGUGAGGUAACGGCUCACCAAGGCGACGAUCAAUAGCUGGUCUGAGAGGAUGAUCAGCCACACUGGGACUGAGACACGGCCCAGACUCCUACGGGAGGCAGCAGUGGGGAAUAUUGGACAAUGGGCGCAAGCCUGAUCCAGCCAUGCCGCGUGUGUGAUGAAGGCCCUAGGGUUGUAAAGCACUUUCAACGGUGAAGAUAAUGACGGUAACCGUAGAAGAAGCUCCGGCUAACUUCGUGCCAGCCGCCGCCGUAACAC
RNAcentral lists this ribosomal RNA (452 nucleotides) under uncultured bacterium. RNAcentral describes it as "bacterial SSU rRNA". It matches the Rfam family "Bacterial small subunit ribosomal RNA", at positions 28 to 526 of the family's 1533-position model. The record is from RNAcentral.